UAGUUCAGCUGGUUAGAAUGCCGCCCUGUCACGGCGGAGGUCGCGGGUUCGAGCCCCGU
Molecule: transfer RNA, 59 nt
Filed under: Campylobacter jejuni
Lineage: Bacteria; Pseudomonadati; Campylobacterota; Epsilonproteobacteria; Campylobacterales; Campylobacteraceae
Description: tRNA-Asp
Rfam family: tRNA
About the family: Transfer RNA (tRNA) molecules are approximately 80 nucleotides in length.
Source: RNAcentral